RNAcentral lists this ribosomal RNA (479 nucleotides) under Gruitaenia gruis. Its description in RNAcentral is "bacterial SSU rRNA". It matches the Rfam family "Eukaryotic small subunit ribosomal RNA", at positions 244 to 715 of the family's 1831-position model. Lineage: Eukaryota; Metazoa; Platyhelminthes; Cestoda; Cyclophyllidea; Dilepididae. The record is from RNAcentral.
UGGUGACUCUGGAUAAUUGUUACAGAUCGCAGUCGGCCUUAGAGUCGGCGACGGGUCCUUCAAAUGUCUGCCCUAUCAACUUUCGAUGGUAGGUGACCUGCCUACCAUGGUGAUAACGGGUAACGGGGAAUCAGGGUUCGAUUCCGGAGAGGGAGCCUGAGAAACGGCUACCACUUCCAAGGGAGGCAGCAGGCGCGCAAAUUACCCACUCCCAGCACGGGGAGGUGGUGACGAAAAAUACCGAUGCGGGACUCCUUAAAGAGGCUCCGUAAUCGGAAUGAGUGGACUCUAAAUCCUUUCACGAGGAUCAAUUGGAGGGCAAGUCUGGUGCCAGCAGCCGCGGUAACUCCAGCUCCAAUAGCGUAUAUUAAAGUUGCUGCAGUUAAAAAGCUCGUAGUUGGAUCUCGGUCGCAUUUAUGCCUGUUGGUAUUAUUGAGUGGCAGUACUGGCACGUCAGCGGACUGUCGCAGUGCUCUGCG